GGGGGGUGCUAGAACAUGCCUUCCUCCUUGGUUGGAGCAGACAUCUUUCGCCCAGGCUAGCCUGCCACCCUGUGGGGUUCUGGGACUUUGUUGGCUUUAGUACUACAGCCAAUGUCAAUUCAAUAUGUGGAGCUCUGAAGACUUCUUACCUGCUCACAGUGGGAAAGAGAUAUCAUCCAUGUAAAUCAAGAACUACUUGGCUGUUUCCUAGGCAACUGUGGAAUAAUUAAAAUGAAGAAGGGCUGAUGUGCCAGGCAUAAGGGAUUUUUAUCAGAUGAAAAUGAAAUGCUCUCUUCUGUCUUGAAGAACCAGAUGUGUAUCUGCCAGCAAACGUAAGAAAGGGGAAAUGGAGACUGGGCCACAUGAAAGAAAGAACAUCAUGAAAAAAUUCAAAAGAUGUCUGUGAUCAUGCAAGUAUGACUAGCCGAAGAGAGGUGGCUCUAGCGUGCAUGCUGCAUUUUGGAUUUGUUUUGUGCCUGCGAGGAGUUGCAUUCCUGACCACUGGAGAAGAACACAACUUUGGAUCUGCUGGCUCUCCUGGUGAC
This is a long non-coding RNA of Gavialis gangeticus (Gharial), 545 nucleotides long. RefSeq lists it as uncharacterized. Lineage: Eukaryota; Metazoa; Chordata; Crocodylia; Gavialidae. The record is from RefSeq and is a predicted model, not a curated record. The transcript is spliced from 4 exons.